This is a long non-coding RNA of Felis catus (domestic cat), 1072 nucleotides long. RefSeq lists it as uncharacterized. The transcript is spliced from 4 exons. The record is from RefSeq and is a predicted model, not a curated record. Lineage: Eukaryota; Metazoa; Chordata; Mammalia; Carnivora; Felidae.
GGAAGGAGCAAAGGAGGGAGCGCGGGAGGCAUGGGGGAGGGGAGGAGGAAAGGAAGAUUUCCUUCAGAUCUCUCUCUAGGAUAGAAUCAUGCAAUGGAGCCUGGGAAACAAGUAUCUGACAUUUCCAAAUAACCACCAUUGGGUAGUUAGUGGUGGGCAACCAAUAAUGUCUUCCUUAGAGGUACCCCAACGCUUUACCAAGAGAAGGAACGAUGUCGAUGGGCAGAGCAGGAGAGAAAAGUCAGAUGGGUGGCCCACUCCUGGUUUUCUGAAAACCCACAGGAAUUCUCAUGGCUCAUGGUUUGCCAGCAGUUACCAUGGUUACGGGGGUGGUGGGCAACAAGAAUCCAUUCCAGAGUGGGGCAAGGAGGACGGAGGGAUGCCAGCCACCUGCCAGCAGACUCAUGGAAACUCUCUCACGAUGGCGAGAGGGGUCUUGGGCCAGGACAACGACAGACUUUUAGAUCCUCCUAAGCCAGCCUUGCUUUUCACACUGAAACCCAAAAGAGAACGUCACAUGUCCUUUCCGACUGGCCAGGAUGCAAAGUCACCCUGUUUUCUGCCUUAGAAAAGUUGUCAAACCUCACAAGCUCGUGAUCUGACCAUUGCCUACCUUGCCUCUUCGUGUCUGCGUGAAGGUCAAAAUGACACCAUUGGUACAAAAUGCUUAGUACUGGACCGAACGUAUAGUUGAUGCUCCAGAUAUUGGCAGCAGUCUCCUCUUCGUCCCAACAGAUGGGGAAAUGGAGCUAAAAAAAAAAAAAAAAAAAAAAAACAAAAAAAACAUGGCACACCCAAGCAGGAACCCCACGCUUUGCUGCUUUCUGAAAAGAUAAAACAACACAACUUACGUUGAUCACGUCUACACAUUGUACUGAGCGGACUGUCAUUGGUCACUAUAAAUUGCCACCCUGCUACCUGGAAGACCUCUUGAAAUAGAUUUUUCUAAGCCACCUGAAGACCUUGGUUAAGCAAACAUAACUACCGGGGUGCCUGGGUGGCUCUGUCGGUUAAGCGUCCAAAUCUUGAUUUCAGCUCACGUCAUGAUCGCAUGGUUCAUGGGUUCAAGCCC